Molecule: ribosomal RNA, 664 nt
Filed under: Arthrobacter sp. L20
Lineage: Bacteria; Bacillati; Actinomycetota; Actinomycetes; Micrococcales; Micrococcaceae
Also listed under: 3 other names
Description: bacterial SSU rRNA
Rfam family: Bacterial small subunit ribosomal RNA
Source: RNAcentral
GCUGGGGGAUUAGUGGCGAACGGGUGAGUAACACGUGAGUAACCUGCCCUUGACUCUGGGAUAAGCCUGGGAAACUGGGUCUAAUACCGGAUACGACCAUUCCACGCAUGUGGUGGUGGUGGAAAGCUUUUGUGGUUUUGGAUGGACUCGCGGCCUAUCAGCUUGUUGGUGGGGUAAUGGCCUACCAAGGCGACGACGGGUAGCCGGCCUGAGAGGGUGACCGGCCACACUGGGACUGAGACACGGCCCAGACUCCUACGGGAGGCAGCAGUGGGGAAUAUUGCACAAUGGGCGCAAGCCUGAUGCAGCGACGCCGCGUGAGGGAUGACGGCCUUCGGGUUGUAAACCUCUUUCAGUAGGGAAGAAGCGUAAGUGACGGUACCUGCAGAAGAAGCGCCGGCUAACUACGUGCCAGCAGCCGCGGUAAUACGUAGGGCGCAAGCGUUAUCCGGAAUUAUUGGGCGUAAAGAGCUCGUAGGCGGUUUGUCGCGUCUGCUGUGAAAGACCGGGGCUCAACUCCGGUUCUGCAGUGGGUACGGGCAGACUAGAGUGCAGUAGGGGAGACUGGAAUUCCUGGUGUAGCGGUGAAAUGCGCAGAUAUCAGGAGGAACACCGAUGGCGAAGGCAGGUCUCUGGGCUGUAACUGACGCUGAGGAGCGAAAGC